RNAcentral lists this ribosomal RNA (654 nucleotides) under uncultured Propionibacterium sp. RNAcentral describes it as "bacterial SSU rRNA". It matches the Rfam family "Bacterial small subunit ribosomal RNA", at positions 216 to 880 of the family's 1533-position model. Lineage: Bacteria; Bacillati; Actinomycetota; Actinomycetes; Propionibacteriales; Propionibacteriaceae. The record is from RNAcentral.
CGGUUGGGGAUGGACUCGCGGCUUAUCAGCUUGUUGGUGGGGUAGUGGCUUACCAAGGCUUUGACGGGUAGCCGGCCUGAGAGGGUGACCGGCCACAUUGGGACUGAGAUACGGCCCAGACUCCUACGGGAGGCAGCAGUGGGGAAUAUUGCACAAUGGGCGGAAGCCUGAUGCAGCAACGCCGCGUGCGGGAUGACGGCCUUCGGGUUGUAAACCGCUUUCGCCUGUGACGAAGCGUGAGUGACGGUAAUGGGUAAAGAAGCACCGGCUAACUACGUGCCAGCAGCCGCGGUGAUACGUAGGGUGCGAGCGUUGUCCGGAUUUAUUGGGCGUAAAGGGCUCGUAGGUGGUUGAUCGCGUCGGAAGUGUAAUCUUGGGGCUUAACCCUGAGCGUGCUUUCGAUACGGGUUGACUUGAGGAAGGUAGGGGAGAAUGGAAUUCCUGGUGGAGCGGUGGAAUGCGCAGAUAUCAGGAGGAACACCAGUGGCGAAGGCGGUUCUCUGGGCCUUUCCUGACGCUGAGGAGCGAAAGCGUGGGGAGCGAACAGGCUUAGAUACCCUGGUAGUCCACGCUGUAAACGGUGGGUACUAGGUGUGGGGUCCAUUCCACGGGUUCCGCGCCGUAGCUAACGCUUUAAGUACCCCGCCUGGGGAG